Ribosomal RNA from Oreochromis niloticus (Nile tilapia), 119 nucleotides. The record is from Ensembl. Lineage: Eukaryota; Metazoa; Chordata; Actinopteri; Cichliformes; Cichlidae.
UCCUACGGCCAUACCACCCUGAGCACACCCGAUCUUGCCUGAUCUUGGAAGUUAAGCAGGGUUGGGCUUGGUUAGUACUUGGAUGGGAGACUGCCUGGGAAGACCAGAUGCUGUAAGCU